GCACCAAGUUGGGCAGCAGUUUAUGUGGGCAAUCUCUAUUUCUUGUGUGUCUGGGGCACCCAGGAAUGCACCAGGUGCUGGCGGGGACCUCUCCAGGGUUGAGGACAGACAGAACCCUGCCUUCAGGCAGUAAUUCCUGGCAGCUUCUUUUCAAGUAAAGGGGAGAAGAAGUAAGACAUCUUUGGCCAAGGUUUAAUAACUGUGAAGGAAAUGAAAUAGAACCACGUGGCAGACAGACAGCGGUGAGGGUCAGGAAAGCCCUGUCUGCUGCUGGAGCUGAGCCUACGCGUGGAAGGAAAGGCAGCCCUGGGGAUGUGAAUGCAAAGGUCAUGGGUGUGAGCAUGAGUGUGUGAGGACUAGGUAGAGGUUAGAGGCCUGGAGUGUAGUGGUCCAGGGAAGGACACCAGGGUAUCGGAGGCGUGGGGAGAGGGCUUUGUAAGCUGGCCCAGGAGUGGGGACUUCAUAGUAACUGUCGUGAGCAGAGUGGAGAUGUGUGCUCGGAGGACAAGCUGGUCUUGGGCACAAGUAUUGAGUAAACAUCUCAUCUGACUCAGGAGUGCAUCUCCAGCUCCAGAACUGGUCCCGGUGCCUGUCUUCUGGCCCGAUAGUGGUUCUCACUGCUACUCAGGGGCCUUCUCCACCAACGUCACUGCUGUCCUCUCCGUGACGUUGAUAUUCUGGUUACGGACAGAGAAGCCUCCUCUCCAUCCCCCACUGGAAACCCCAAAGCUAACUAAGGCUAACUCUUUCUGAUGAAUGGAGAGACUUGCACCCAUGAAUCCUUCAGCCAGCCCGGUCCCGGCACUCAAUCGCUCAUAACUCUGUUAAGAGUGCGGAAUGACACCUGCGGCAGCCGGAUAAAGGAUGAAAUAAGAGGUCUGAUAAGCACGAUUGAUGGCUGUCCUUGCUCAAGAUGGGCAGAAGGAAGGGCAGAGGUGGGCCCAGAAUGCAAAGUGAAUCUUAGGAGAGUGGAGCACACAGGCCUCUGAUGGUGGGGAUGGGUGCCUUCCCUAUGUGCCAUGGGAGACACACAGGAUUCUUGUUUACACAUGACAGAAAACGAAGCCAGAAGUCUGAGCCCAAAUGGCCUUCACUGGCUCAGGUUUCUUGGUCAAUUUCUUAACGGUCCACUGUGGAGGGAUUGGGAUUGGCACAGGUUGGCCAGACCUGGGUCCCUGUGUGUGCUCACUACGGAGAGGCUAAGAGAAGAGGACAGAAGGGAACUUGAAGGAAAAUAAUGGCCUGGAAAGUGGGCAAAUAGAGUGGCCCUGACCCCAGCUGAAUUCCAGCACUACAUUGAUCACACUAUUCUCCAAAAAUACUUCCCCUCAAAGGCACAGAACUCGGGCCAUUUUCCUUUGCUGGGGGUUAAUACAUGCCUGAUAGGUGCUGCAGGACCAACAUCAAGGCCGGUCUGCGGCGGAAUCAUGGCCUACUCCAGAUGCUGUGUUCAGGCCUGUUCAGUCUGCACUCAAACAAGCAAGGGGUGGGAACGGAGCCCCAGAACUGUGAAGUUGUUUGCCUAGGGUGCUCAGCUGGUGAGUGAUGGAGUUUGGCACACACAUACAUCCCUCUGCCUGGCUCUGGAAUCCCUGGCUUUACAUCUCUUCCUGUAUUCCCUUCCCCAACAGGACACCAUCUCCCAAGUGAACUCCAGAGGAACAGAAAUACAUCACUAAACAGUGGGGAUCUUCUCUGCAAAUGUAUUUUGUCGCAGGGUGAACAUCAGAAUAGGUUGCAUAGAUUAAGGCUUCUGCACUGUCAGAAGGCCACAUGAUCUUACCAGAGUGCCACUGUGUGUGGCCCAUUGCCAGUGGAAGACUCAAGUUUAGUGAGGCUGCACACAACUGCCUCACGCUGGUUCUAUCUGACGGGGUCUCUUUUCUGAUGGCCGCUGUCGCUCUGAUGAAGAAGCACUUGUCUAGUGUAUAUGAGUCCUGGGUUCAAUCCCCAGCACCAGA
Molecule: non-coding RNA, 1961 nt
Organism: Peromyscus maniculatus bairdii (prairie deer mouse)
Lineage: Eukaryota; Metazoa; Chordata; Mammalia; Rodentia; Cricetidae
Source: RefSeq, a predicted model, not a curated record